GGGCCGAACCACCAUAGUUGAAAAUAGUGGGGAUGACUUGAGGAUGGGAGUGAAAGGCUAAUCAAACUGGGAGAUAGCUGGUUCUCCGCGAAAUAUAUUGAGGUAUAGCCUCGGACGAAUUGCACCGGAGGUAGAGCACUGAUUGGGCUAGGGGUCUUACCAGAUUACCAAACCCACUCAAACUCCGAAUGCCGGUGACAACUAUCCGGGAGACAGGCUGCGAGUGAUAAGAUCCGUAGCCAAAAGGGAAAGAGCCCAGAUCGACAGCUAAGGUCCCAAAAUCCAGGCUAAGUGUGGAAGGAUGUGGGAGCGCUCAGACAGCCAGGAGGUUGGCUUAGAAGCAGCCACCCUUUAAAGAAAGCGUAAUAGCUCACUGGUCGAGCGAGCCUGCGCCGAAAAUGUAACGGGGCUAAAGUCUGGUACCGAAGCUUCGGGUUCUCGUAAGAG
Molecule: ribosomal RNA, 447 nt
Filed under: uncultured bacterium
Lineage: Bacteria
Description: bacterial LSU rRNA
Rfam family: Bacterial large subunit ribosomal RNA
Source: RNAcentral